RNAcentral lists this ribosomal RNA (472 nucleotides) under bacterium 2311-S2-01-1. Its description in RNAcentral is "bacterial SSU rRNA". It matches the Rfam family "Bacterial small subunit ribosomal RNA", at positions 58 to 511 of the family's 1533-position model. The record is from RNAcentral.
CAAGUCGAGCGAACAGAGAAGGAGCUUGCUCCUUUGACGUUAGCGGCGGACGGGUGAGUAACACGUGGGCAACCUACCUUAUAGUUUGGGAUAACUCCGGGAAACCGGGGCUAAUACCGAAUAAUCUGUUUCACCUCAUGGUGAAAUAUUGAAAGACGGUUUCGGCUGUCGCUAUAGGAUGGGCCCGCGGCGCAUUAGCUAGUUGGUGAGGUAACGGCUCACCAAGGCGACGAUGCGUAGCCGACCUGAGAGGGUGAUCGGCCACACUGGGACUGAGACACGGCCCAGACUCCUACGGGAGGCAGCAGUAGGGAAUCUUCCACAAUGGGCGAAAGCCUGAUGGAGCAACGCCGCGUGAGUGAAGAAGGAUUUCGGUUCGUAAAACUCUGUUGUAAGGGAAGAACAAGUACAGUAGUAACUGGCUGUACCUUGACGGUACCUUAUUAGAAAGCCACGGCUAACUACGUGCCAG